GACGAACGCUGGCGGCGUGCUUAACACAUGCAAGUCGAACGAUGAAGCCCAGCUUGCUGGGUGGAAGAGUGGCGAACGGGUGAGUAACACGUGAGCAACCUGCCCUUCACUCUGGGAUAAGCACUGGAAACGGUGUCUAAUACUGGAUAUGCACAAUGGCCGCAUGGUCUGUUGUGGGAAAGAUUUAUCGGUGAAGGAUGGGCUCGCGGCCUAUCAGCUUGUUGGUGAGGUAGUGGCUCACCAAGGCGACGACGGGUAGCCGGCCUGAGAGGGUGACCGGCCACACUGGGACUGAGACACGGCCCAGACUCCUACGGGAGGCAGCAGUGGGGAAUAUUGCACAAUGGGCGCAAGCCUGAUGCAGCAACGCCGCGUGAGGGAUGACGGCCUUCGGGUUGAAAACCUCUUUUAGUAGGGAAGAAGCGAAAGUGACGGUACCUGCAGAAAAAGCACCGGCUAACUACGUGCCAGCAGCCGCCGUAA
RNAcentral lists this ribosomal RNA (483 nucleotides) under uncultured bacterium. Its description in RNAcentral is "partial 16S ribosomal RNA". It matches the Rfam family "Bacterial small subunit ribosomal RNA", at positions 28 to 523 of the family's 1533-position model. The record is from RNAcentral.